RNAcentral lists this ribosomal RNA (252 nucleotides) under uncultured bacterium. Its description in RNAcentral is "partial 16S ribosomal RNA". It matches the Rfam family "Bacterial small subunit ribosomal RNA", at positions 30 to 289 of the family's 1533-position model. The record is from RNAcentral.
UUGAACGCUGGCGGCAUGCCUUACACAUGCAAGUCGAACGGUAGAGGGGCAACCCUUGAGAGUGGCGAACGGGUGAGUAAUGCAUCGGAACGUGCCCAGUCGUGGAGGAUAACGCAGCGAAAGCUGUGCUAAUACCGCAUGUGAUCUGUGGAUGAAAGCAGGGGACCGCAAGGCCUUGUGCGAUUGGAGCGGCCGAUGUCAGAUUAGCUAGUUGGUAGGGUAAAAGCCUACCAAGGCGACGAUCUGUAGCUG